Molecule: unclassified non-coding RNA, 213 nt
Filed under: plant metagenome
Description: partial contains small subunit ribosomal RNA, internal transcribed spacer 1, and 5.8S ribosomal RNA
Source: RNAcentral
UUUCCGUAGGUGUACCUGCGGAAGGAUCAUUCAUAAUAAGUGUUUUAUGGCUCUUUUUUAAAUCCAUAUCUGCCUUGUGUGCAAUGUCAGGGUUGAUUUUUCUCUCGAGAGGAUCAACCCCAAACAUCCACUAUAUCUCAACUCUUUGUCUGAAAAAUAUUAUGAAUAAAACAAUUCAAAAUACAACUUUCAACAACGGAUCUCUUGGUUCUC